AUUAGCGACCAAAGCAGAGGGGGUACACCUGUUCCCAUUCCGAACACAGAAGUUAAGCCCUCUAGCGAUUUGGACAGUACUGACUUUGUCGGGAAAUCCAAGACGUUGCUAAUC
This 114-nucleotide ribosomal RNA is filed under the name Candidatus Aenigmatarchaeota archaeon. The record is from RNAcentral. Lineage: Archaea; Nanobdellati; Candidatus Aenigmatarchaeota.